Molecule: ribosomal RNA, 535 nt
Filed under: Desulfomicrobium sp. AR1902/01
Lineage: Bacteria; Pseudomonadati; Thermodesulfobacteriota; Desulfovibrionia; Desulfovibrionales; Desulfomicrobiaceae
Description: bacterial SSU rRNA
Rfam family: Bacterial small subunit ribosomal RNA
Source: RNAcentral
CGCAAUGGGCGAAAGCCUGACGCAGCAACGCCGUGUGAGGGAUGAAGGCUUUCGGGUCGUAAACCUCUGUCAGAAGGGAAGAACGGGCAUUGGUCUAAUAGGCCUUUGUUUUGACGGUACCUUCAGAGGAAGCACCGGCUAACUCCGUGCCAGCAGCCGCGGUAAUACGGAGGGUGCAAGCGUUAUUCGGAAUUACUGGGCGUAAAGCGCGCGUAGGCGGCUUCGUAAGUCAGGGGUGAAAUCCCACGGCUCAACCGUGGAACUGCCUUUGAAACUGCGUGGCUUGAAUCCUGGAGAGGGUGGCGGAAUUCCUGGUGUAGGAGUGAAAUCCGUAGAUAUCAGGAGGAACACCGGUGGCGAAGGCGGCCACCUGGACAGGUAUUGACGCUGAGGUGCGAAAGUGUGGGGAGCAAACAGGAUUAGAUACCCUGGUAGUCCACACCGUAAACGAAUGGCAUAACUAGGUGUCGGGGCACUUGGAUGCUUCGUGUGCCGUAGCUCAACGGUCGUUAAGUAUCCCGUCCUGGGGAGUACG